CGCAUCUGUGCAUGCAGCAUAUCAAUAAGCGGAGGAAAAGAAACUAACAAGGAUUCCCCUAGUAACGGCGAGUGAAGCGGGAAGAGCUCAAAUUUGAAAUCUUAAAGGGUUUCCCUUUACGAAUUGUAGUUUAAAGAAGUGUUUUCUGUUGAGGUUUUGGUAAAAGUUCUUUGGAAUAGGGACAUCAUAGAGGGUGAGAAUCCCGUAUUUGACCUUUACUUUCAACUUUGUGAUACACUUUCAAAGAGUCGGAUUGUUUGGGAAUGCAGUCCAAAAUGGGUGGUAAAUUUCAUCUAAAGCUAAAUAUUGGCGAGAGACCGAUAGCGAACAAGUACCGUGAGGGAAAGAUGAAAAGAACUUUGAAAAGAGAGUUAAACAGUACGUGAAAUUGUCAAAAGGGAAGCGUUUGACACCAGUGUUGUUUUUCUGAAAAUCAAUUAAAGAACUGUUUAUGCUAAGUUGUUUAGACUUUAUCAGCUAACUGUUUAGUUUUGAGCUUUUCUUUAAUGCACUUUUCAGUUAACAAGUCAACAUCAAUUUCUUUUGCUGUAAAAAAGCUUGAGGAAGGUGGCUUGAGAUUCGUCUUAAGUGUUUAUAGCCUCUUGCCUAUGCAGUCGGAGAGAUUGAGGUCUGCAGCGUAGAUCCUUCGGGGCUAAAUGCAUUUGUGCUAAGUUAUAGCAUUUUAUAGACAACUUGUUGACUAUGAUUUGUCUUGUAGCUUACUCGCUUAUGUUAUUUUACCUACGCUUAGGAUGUUGACUGAUAUGUAGUCGUA
RNAcentral lists this ribosomal RNA (775 nucleotides) under uncultured Neocallimastigales. RNAcentral describes it as "partial large subunit ribosomal RNA". It matches the Rfam family "Eukaryotic large subunit ribosomal RNA", at positions 26 to 644 of the family's 3401-position model. Lineage: Eukaryota; Fungi; Neocallimastigomycota; Neocallimastigomycetes; Neocallimastigales. The record is from RNAcentral.